This 74-nucleotide transfer RNA is filed under the name Campylobacter hominis ATCC BAA-381. It matches the Rfam family "tRNA". From Rfam's summary of the family: Transfer RNA (tRNA) molecules are approximately 80 nucleotides in length. Their secondary structure includes four short double-helical elements and three loops (D, anti-codon, and T loops). The record is from Rfam by way of RNAcentral. Lineage: Bacteria; Pseudomonadati; Campylobacterota; Epsilonproteobacteria; Campylobacterales; Campylobacteraceae.
GCGCUCAUAGCUCAGCUGGAUAGAGCAACGCCCUUCUAAGGCGUAGGCCAGAGGUUCGAAUCCUCUUGGGCGUA